This 479-nucleotide ribosomal RNA is filed under the name uncultured bacterium. RNAcentral's name for it is "bacterial SSU rRNA". It matches the Rfam family "Bacterial small subunit ribosomal RNA", at positions 642 to 1116 of the family's 1533-position model. The record is from RNAcentral.
UUGAGGGCUUAAGAGGGAACUGGAAUUCCGGGUGGAGUGGUGAAAUGCGUAGAGAUGUGGAGGAACACCAGUGGCGAAGGCGGCUCUUUGGUCUGUAACUGACGCUGAUGUGCGAAAGCGUGGGGAGCGAACAGGAUUAGAUACCCUGGUAGUCCUCGCCGUAAACGAUGAGUGCUAAAUGUUAGAGGGUUUCCGCCCUUUAGUGCUGCAGUUAACGCAUUAAGCACUCCGCCUGGGGAGUACGGCCGCAAGGCUGAAACUCAAAGGAAUUGACGGGGGCCCGCACAAGCGGUGGAGCAUGUGGUUUAAUUCGAAGCAACGCGAAGAACCUUACCAGGUCUUGACAUCCCGCUGACCGGUCUGGAGACAGGCCUUUCCCUUCGGGGACAGCGGUGACAGGUGGUGCAUGGUUGUCCUCAGCGUCGUGUCGUGAGAUGUUGGGUUAAGUCCCGCAACGAGCGCAACCCUUGAUCUUAGUU